GGGGAUGUGGCUCAGUGGUAGAGCAUUUGCUUAGCAUGUACAAUGCUCUGGGUUCAAUGUCCAGCAUCACAA
This 72-nucleotide transfer RNA is filed under the name Marmota monax (woodchuck). It matches the Rfam family "tRNA". Rfam says of the family: Transfer RNA (tRNA) molecules are approximately 80 nucleotides in length. Their secondary structure includes four short double-helical elements and three loops (D, anti-codon, and T loops). Further hydrogen bonds mediate the characteristic L-shaped molecular structure. tRNAs have two regions of fundamental functional importance: the anti-codon, which is responsible for specific mRNA codon recognition, and the 3' end, to which the tRNAs corresponding amino acid is attached (by aminoacyl-tRNA synthetases). tRNAs cope with the degeneracy of the genetic code in two manners: having more than one tRNA (with a specific anti-codon) for a particular amino acid; and 'wobble' base-pairing, i.e. permitting non-standard base-pairing at the 3rd anti-codon position. Lineage: Eukaryota; Metazoa; Chordata; Mammalia; Rodentia; Sciuridae. The record is from Rfam by way of RNAcentral.